Molecule: long non-coding RNA, 288 nt
Filed under: Malus domestica (apple)
Lineage: Eukaryota; Viridiplantae; Streptophyta; Magnoliopsida; Rosales; Rosaceae
Description: long non-coding RNA (MDOM_LNC020798)
Source: RNAcentral
CUUAUAUUUUUGAGUCAAGUGAGAGGUUAUUAGCAAGCCCUCCUAAUCCCCGGCCUAGAACGAUACCCUACUUACAUCUAUACUACAAUUGUCAAAAAUAGGGUUUAAUUUGUGCUUAUAUAUUUCGCACCAUUAAUUAAUCAAACGAAUAAGUUCGUUAAAGACCUCGGGAUAGUUUUGGACCUUAAGGCCCAAUGGGCUUCGAACGUCAAGCCCAUUAACAUAAGUUAUAUGACAACUUAAUGAAUAAUGAUUCACAAAGGCCCAAUUAGUCCAAAAUAUCCUAAU